UAUUAUAAUAUAUGUAAAUUUGGUCUUAAAAAUUAAAAGUUAUGUUCUUUAAACUUAAAGAAUUUGACGGUAUUUUAGUCCUUUUAGAGGAAUCUGUUCUGUAAUUGAUAAUACACGAGUAAAUAUACUUAAUUUUGUUGAGUUUGUAUAUCAUUGUCGAAAAUUUAUCUUGGGAAAGUUUAUUUUUAAAUAAAAAGAUUAUUUUAAAUGUCAAAUCAUGAUGCAGCUAAUGGUUAAGAAGAAAUGGAUUACAAUUUAAAUGUAAACGGAUAAGUUAUUAAAAAAAAUUAUUGAAGGUGGAUUUAAAUGUAAAUUUAUUUUAUUGUUAAAUUGAUUGUGGCUCUAAAAUAUGUACAUAUCGCCCGUCGCUCUCGUUAAAAAAUGAG
Molecule: ribosomal RNA, 386 nt
Filed under: Anaxipha sp. GDE
Lineage: Eukaryota; Metazoa; Arthropoda; Insecta; Orthoptera; Trigonidiidae
Description: partial 12S ribosomal RNA
Source: RNAcentral